UACAGAGGGUGCGAGCGUUAAUCGGAAUUACUGGGCGUAAAGCGUGCGUAGACGGUUAUGUAAGUCGGAUGUGAAAGCCCCGGGCUCAACCUGGGAAUGGCAUUCGAGACUGCAUAGCUAGGAUGCGGAAGAGGGAAGUGGAAUUUCCGGUGUAGCGGUGAAAUGCGUAGAUAUCGGAAGGAACAUCAGUGGCGAAAGCGACUUCCUGGUCCAGCAUCGACGUUCAGGCACGAAAGCGUGGGGAGCAAGCAGG
RNAcentral lists this ribosomal RNA (253 nucleotides) under uncultured bacterium. RNAcentral describes it as "partial 16S ribosomal RNA". It matches the Rfam family "Bacterial small subunit ribosomal RNA", at positions 524 to 776 of the family's 1533-position model. The record is from RNAcentral.